Molecule: non-coding RNA, 1036 nt
Organism: Phascolarctos cinereus (koala)
Lineage: Eukaryota; Metazoa; Chordata; Mammalia; Diprotodontia; Phascolarctidae
Source: RefSeq, a predicted model, not a curated record
ACAAGGGAUGGCUCACUGGGUAGAAGGAAUAUACAAAGAAAUGAAUUUAACAUAAAAAGAGAUGUCAAUAAGAAUAAAAAGUAUUGGGAGUGAAAGUGCCCUUGGCAACAUGUUAAUCCAACAUUCUCAUUGUAUAAAGUAGGAAAUUGAAAUUCUACUGUGCCGCAACAUUCAAAGAGAUAAAUAAAUAAGGAUGAUCUGGGGGAAAAAGCCCUGAACACUAAAACCAUCAGGAGGUGAUCAGAAACAUGAAGAAAGCGAAGCAUUUGAAGAGGCAGAUGUGAGGAAGGAAUGCACCCCUGCAAUGAGGGACUACCUUGGCAAAGGCAGGGACAUAGGCAGCUGUGAUUUCAACUCAGGAAUGGCAGGAUAUAGCCCACUACAUGCCCCACCAUCAUACAUGCUGCCCAUUGGACACUGAAGAUCCCGAGGGCUGGAUAAUCCCCAAACCUGCAAGUCUAAUACGUGUGUUACUUGCUAUGAUUCCAGCAGCUUUGAUGUCAGUUCUGCAGUCCUUUGGCUUUCUUCCACCUGUCAGAGGUCAUCAUCACAUCAUCACAGACUUAGAGCUGGAAGACAUUUUUAAGGUGGCAAAGCACAAGAUCAGAAAAAGAUACCCUCAUGUCCCUGUAUCGUCACUGAGUAAAUAACAGGUGCCAGUAUUAUCCCAUCUGUGAGAAGGCAUACAGUUAACAUCUGGAUUUGUCUCAACUUUGUCCUGCUUUGCUGGUCUUCCUCAUGGUAUGCACUUUAUCCAACCCUUAGCAUCUGUGAUUUCAUCCAAUGAGGCAUUCCUUCCGAAGAUAUAGGUAUCAGCCUUUCUCCAAAGCUCCAUCCUCUUCAGUUUGUGUUCAGGAGAGGAAACUGAGGCUCAGAGAAUUAAAAAAACUCAUCUAAACUAAGACAUGUGGAAGGGAAACUUGUGGAAAUCAAAUUAGAUACUCACCGUCAAGUGCUGGAACCACUGGAGCGGUGCACCAUUUCCUUCUCCAGUUCAUUUUACAGAUGAGGAAACUGAGGCAAACAGGAUUAAGUG